AGACAUUCUACUCACAAAGCCCUUCCUUGCAAAAACUAUGCACAACCAAAGAGAAAAAGCCAAGAAAAUGAUUGAUCCCACAUGACCCCAAGAUUGUAAAAGAUUGAGGGAAUUCUUAUUUCUUUUUUCUUUUUAAUGAUCUUUUGUCUCUCUCUCUCUCUCUCUCUCUCUCUCUCUCUCUGUGUUUUACAUCGAAUUUGGCUCUGAAAUUUGAUAGAACUCUCUCUUCCUCUCUCUUCUCUCUCUCUCCUCAUUCCAUGCAAAUUUGUCUCUGAAAUCAGUAAAAAAAGAAAGGUUUCCAAGAAACAUUGUCACUUAUUGCACCAAAUUUAUACGAGGGCUACAAAAACCAAUGCAUAUUGACUCUUCCUUUACAAUUAACUUUGCUGCUGCAAACUCCAAGGCCAAAAGCUAUACUUUAUAAACAUUCUCAGCAAUAGAAUUUUCUAGUUUUCAACUCCACAUUUAUAGCUCAAAAUUUAUUUUCUGUGGGCUAUUUGUUUCAUAUAAGAAGUUAAAGUUCUGUUUCUAUUAUUUGGAUGCCAUGCCAUGACUUGGGCUAAAUAGCGUUGGAAGAAUCAGUGCUAAGGAAAAGAAAUUCGAGAGAAAAAGACAACUCGACUCCUAGCUGUUUUGGACAGAGAGACCAACUGGCUCCUUUUGCGGUCAGGCAUAAAUUAGUCAGUACUCCCCUCCAACAUCAACCGGGCUUAAACCAUUUCGCAUCUCUUCUUCGCCGACCGUCUUCGUCUUUCUCAACAAACAUAUGGGGCUGGGAAGAGUGUUGGUUUGCUUGUUUCUUCUUCUGAUUUUGCUAUUAUAUGUGGAAGCUCCAUAUUAUGGAGGUGGGAAUGGCAGAUUCAAAGGCAGUUCUUGUUCUGGUUCUGCUAAAAAAGCUCACAAAAAUGGCUUCAAGGGGAAUCCAGAAAAGGAUUGUGCUGAGAAUUUUGGUGCAGAAAAGAGAAGAGUCUACACAGGUCCAAAUCCUUUACACAACAGAUAAGUAUGCAAACGAAAGCAAGCUUGAUUCUCUCACUCAAGCCAUGAAAUUUUCUUUUAAAAAUUUAUAGUAUUUUUGGUCGCGACAUGUUGGCUCCUGUUCAUAAGAGUGACCGAUCUUGUAAAACACGUCAGGGGAGAGACAGGUAGACCGAAAUUAAUAUGGCUGGUCGAAGUUGUUAAGGAUCUUGUUGUUUCAAAUCUUCAUGUAAAUCUAACAUUGAAAUGGUGAAAAAUGAUUUAUAUGCAAAAUUAAUGUUUUGUUUAUUGUUUCUUCUCCACAUUACUGAAAAUUUUAUUUGAAAAAAUGAUAAAUAUUUUUUAGGUCACCUUUCUGUUACUAUUAAUAAAUACCAUUAAUGUGUGGUUGUUGGUGUGAUGAAUAUAUGUCUGAUAGUUUUUCCAGUUGGUUGGUAUUUGUAGUUCCUCUUAUAGUAU
RNAcentral lists this long non-coding RNA (1437 nucleotides) under Olea europaea subsp. europaea. The record is from RNAcentral. Lineage: Eukaryota; Viridiplantae; Streptophyta; Magnoliopsida; Lamiales; Oleaceae.